CCUACGGGUGGCAGCAGUGAGGAAUAUUGGUCAAUGGGCGCGAGCCUGAACCAGCCAAGUAGCGUGAAGGAAGAAGGUACUGAGUGUUGUAAACCUCUUUUAUAAAGGGAUAAAGUGAGGCACGUGUGCCCUUUUGUGUGUACUUUAUGAAUAAGGAUCGGCUAACUCCGUGCCAGCAGCCGCGGUAAUACGGAGGAUGCGAGCGUUAUCCGGAUUUAUUGGGUUUAAAGGGAGCGUAGUGAGGUUGUUAAGUCAGUGGUGAAAGUGUGGGGCUCAACCCCAGAAGGGCAAUUGAUACUGGCGGGCUUGAGUUCGAGAGAAGUAGGCGGAAUGCGUGGUGUAGCGGUGAAAUGCAUAGAUAUCACGAAGAACUCCGAUUGCGAAGGCAGCAUACCGACUUCACACUGACGCUGAGGCACGAAAGUGUGGGUAUCGAACAGGAUUAGAUACCCGUGUAGUC
RNAcentral lists this ribosomal RNA (460 nucleotides) under uncultured bacterium. RNAcentral's name for it is "partial 16S ribosomal RNA". It matches the Rfam family "Bacterial small subunit ribosomal RNA", at positions 338 to 795 of the family's 1533-position model. The record is from RNAcentral.